RNAcentral lists this ribosomal RNA (253 nucleotides) under uncultured bacterium. RNAcentral's name for it is "partial 16S ribosomal RNA". It matches the Rfam family "Bacterial small subunit ribosomal RNA", at positions 524 to 776 of the family's 1533-position model. The record is from RNAcentral.
UACGAAGGGGGCUAGCGUUGCUCGGAAUCACUGGGCGUAAAGGGUGCGUAGGCGGGUCUUUAAGUCAGAGGUGAAAUCCUGGAGCUCAACUCCAGAACUGCCUUUGAUACUGAGGAUCUUGAGUAUGGGAGAGGUGAGUGGAACUGCGAGUGUAGAGGUGAAAUUCGUAGAUAUUCGCAAGAACACCAGUGGCGAAGGCGGCUCACUGGCCCAUUACUGACGCUGAGGCACGAAGGUCAGGGGAGCAAACGGG